This 2192-nucleotide long non-coding RNA is filed under the name Agrilus planipennis (emerald ash borer). RNAcentral describes it as "uncharacterized LOC108743130, transcript variant X1". The record is from RNAcentral. Lineage: Eukaryota; Metazoa; Arthropoda; Insecta; Coleoptera; Buprestidae.
ACAAUUUAUUAUUUAUUACUUUCUUGAAGCUGAUGCUUCGUCCUCAUUGUAAUAAUUGGGUUAAUUUUGGUAUUUUACUUGGUGUUUGAUUGUUGACAUAAUACUGCUGCUGUGGUGUAGGGCUCCGUGGAUUUUGUUUUUUGCUUCUUACCAUUAACUUAGAAGUAAUUUGCAGUCAAAUGGCAGUGCAACAUCUGCGGGUCGUCUUUGUGAUUGUGUUAGUAUCUAAUUCUUAAAUAGUUGACCUAAUAGUUUACUGUAGUGUAGGACUCCGAGUACUUUGUUGUUUGCUGCUUACCAUUAACUUAGAACGAAUUUGCAGUCAAAUAGCAGUGCAAUAUCUGGGGAUUGUCUCUGUGAUUGUGUCAGUAUCUAAUUCUCAAAUAGUUGACUUAAUAGUCUACUGUAGUGUAGGACUCCCUGGACUUUGUUGUUUGCUGCUUACCAUUAACCUAGAACGAAUUUGCAGUCAAAUGGCAGUGCAAUAUCUGGGGAUCGUCUCUGUGAUUGUGUCAGCAUCUAAUUCUUAAAUAGUUGACUUAAUAGUCUACUGUGCUGUAGGACUCUCCGGACUUUGUUGUUUUCUGCUUAACCUAGAACGAAUUUGCAGUCAAAUGGCAGGGCAAUAUCUGGGAAUCAUCUAUGUGAUUGUGUGAGCAUUUAAUUCUUAAAUCGUUGACUUAAUUGUCUACUGUGUUGUAGGACUCCCUGGACUUUGUUGUUUGCUGCUUACCAUUAACCUAGAACGAAUAUGCAGUCAAAUGGUAGUGCAAAAUCUGGAGAUCCUCUCUAUGAUUGUGUCAGCAUCUAAUUCUUAAAUAGUUGACUUACUAGUCUACUGUAGCCUAGGACUACGAGGACCUUGUUGUUUGCUGCUUACCAUUAAUCUAGAACGAAUUUGCAGUCAAACGACAGUGCAAUAUCUGGGGAUCGUCUCUGUGAUUUUGUCAGCAUCUAAUUCUUAAAUAAGCGCCGUUCGGCGUUGUGAUCGGAUUACGGUAUUAAAUAACUGAUGGAUAGUAGAUGGAAACCUACGGACGUGGAAGGUUUUUUGUCUUGUAGCUGUUGGCGCCCCUUGUUUGUUGCGGUCUGGGAAUGCAGUACUCGGGAGUCAGUGAGUUGUGUCCGGUGUCAGGAGAUUAUGCCUUGUCCCAUACGGUUCAGCAGGGUUCAUGUAACAGGUAAGUGAUAAACGUUACGUUUUUGGGGUCUAGUAGAAUUAGAUGUAGGGGUCGUCUCGUCAGGUUAGGUCAGGUCAGGUAACGUCAGGGUAUUUUUGGUCUGGUCAGACCAAGUGGAAUCAGUUCAGGUCGGGUUGGAUUAGGUCAAGUCUUAUUGGGUCUGGUCGGAUUAAUUCGUGUUGCAUCGGAUUAGGUCAGGUCAGGUCGGGCCAGGUCAGAUCAGGUCCGGUCUAGUCGGGUCAUUUAAGGUCGACAUAGGUCAGGUCACGUCGGAUUAGGUAAGGUCGGGUCAGAUCAGGUUGGUUAAUUCCGUUCAGAUCGGGUCGGGUCAGGUCGCAUUGGGUCGGGUGAGAUCGGGUUACUCGUGCUACGUCGGGUUAGGCCAGGUCAGUUUGGGUUCGGUCAGGUUCUGUUCGGUCAGGAUAGGUAAAGUCUGGUAACUUUAAGUCGGGUCAGGUUAGGUCGUGUCAGUUUAGGUCAUGUAGGGUAAGGUCAGGUCGGGUCACUGUCGGGAGCGGUGAGGUUAAGUCGGGUCGGGUCGUUAGGACAGAUCGCGUUAGGUUAGGCCUGGCCUAUACAGGCGGGUCAGGUCAUAUAGGGACAGUUUAGGUCAGGUCGGGGCAGGUGAGGACGUAUUGGGACGGGUCAGGUCAGGUUAAUUCGUGUUGCGUUGUCAGGUCAAAUCGGGACACAAGGUCGUGUCAUUUCAGGCCAAGUCGACUUCGGCCAGUUCGCGUCAUAUCAAGUAGGGUCACUAGGUCGUACUAUUUCAGGCUCGGUCAGGUCAUGUCAAGUCAGGUCAGGUCAGGGCCGGUAAGGCUGCUUUGGGUCGAGUCAGGUUAGGUCAGGUCAAGUCGGGUCGGUUCAGGUCAGGCCGUGUUGGCUAGCCUCAGGUCUAUUAUUUCUGGUCCGGUCGAAUAGGUUACUGUUAGGUCGGGUCAAGUCAUUUGGGGUCAGUUCAGAUCAGAUCGGGAUGGAUCGAUUCCGAUUGCAUGGCGACGGGUUAGGUAA